AGGACGAACGGCUGGCGGCGUGCCUAAUACAUGCAAGUCGAACGGUCGUUUCUAUGGAAGCUUGCUUCCACUGAGAAGAGUAGUGGCGAACGGGUGAGUAACACGUGGGUAACCUGCCCAUAAGAGGGGGAGUAACAUCCGGAAACGGGUGCUAAUACCGCAUAGUUUUCUUGAUCGUAUGAUCGGGAAAGGAAAGACGGCCUUUGUGCUGUCGCUUAUGGAUGGACCCGCGGCGUAUUAGUUAGUUGGUGAGGUAACGGCUCACCAAGACGAUGAUACGUAGCCGACCUGAGAGGGUGAUCGGCCACAUUGGGACUGAGACACGGCCCAAACUCCUACGGGAGGCAGCAGUAGGGAAUCUUCCGCAAUGGACGAAAGUCUGACGGAGCAACGCCGCGUGAGUGAAGAAAAGGUUUUCGGAUCGUAAAACUCUGUUGUCAGAGAAGAACAAGUUGGAGAGUAACUGCUCCAGCCUUGACGGUAUCUGACCAGAAAGCCACGGCUAACUACGUGCCAGCCGCUGC
Molecule: ribosomal RNA, 524 nt
Filed under: uncultured bacterium
Lineage: Bacteria
Description: bacterial SSU rRNA
Rfam family: Bacterial small subunit ribosomal RNA
Source: RNAcentral